This 106-nucleotide non-coding RNA is filed under the name Syntrophotalea carbinolica. RNAcentral's name for it is "Pelobacter carbinolicus TPP sequence". It matches the Rfam family "TPP riboswitch aptamer (THI element)". From Rfam's summary of the family: Vitamin B(1) in its active form thiamin pyrophosphate (TPP) is an essential coenzyme that is synthesised by coupling of pyrimidine and thiazole moieties in bacteria. The previously detected thiamin-regulatory element, thi box was extended, resulting in a new, highly conserved RNA secondary structure, the THI element, which is widely distributed in eubacteria and also occurs in some archaea. RNAcentral also lists the same sequence under 1 other name. The record is from RNAcentral. Lineage: Bacteria; Pseudomonadati; Thermodesulfobacteriota; Desulfuromonadia; Desulfuromonadales; Syntrophotaleaceae.
GAUAGGCCCUGGGGGAGUUUGCAAAACUGAGAGUCCUGCGCAUGCGGGACAACCCUUUGAACCUGAUCCGGGUCAUUCCGGCGUAGGGAAGCGGCGCAAAUGCAGA